GAUGAACGCUGGCGGCGUGCCUAAUACAUGCAAGUCGAGCGAACAGACGAGGAGCUUGCUCCUCUGACGUUAGCGGCGGACGGGUGAGUAACACGUGGAUAACCUACCUAUAAGACUGGGAUAACUUCGGGAAACCGGAGCUAAUACCGGAUAAUAUAUUGAACCGCCUGGUUCAAUAGUGAAAGACGGUUUUGCUGUCACUUAUCGAUGGAUCCGCGCCGCAUUAGCUAGUUGGUAAGGUAACGGCUUACCAAGGCAACGAUGCGUAGCCGACCUGAGAGGGUGAUAGGCCACACUGGAACUGAGACACGGUCCAGACUCCUACGGGAGGCAGCAGUAGGGAAUCUUCCGCAAUGGGCGAAAGCUUGACGGAGCAACGCCGCGUGAGUGAUGAAGGUCUUCGGAUCGUAAAACUCUGUUAUUAGGGAAGAACAAAUGUGUAAGUAACUAUGCACGUCUUGACGGUACCUAAUCAGAAAGCCACGGCUAACUACGUG
RNAcentral lists this ribosomal RNA (497 nucleotides) under uncultured bacterium. Its description in RNAcentral is "partial 16S ribosomal RNA". It matches the Rfam family "Bacterial small subunit ribosomal RNA", at positions 28 to 507 of the family's 1533-position model. The record is from RNAcentral.